Molecule: long non-coding RNA, 796 nt
Organism: Austrofundulus limnaeus
Lineage: Eukaryota; Metazoa; Chordata; Actinopteri; Cyprinodontiformes; Rivulidae
Exons: 2
Source: RefSeq, a predicted model, not a curated record
UGCAGUCAAUUAAAAGCUAAAGUCAAAAGUUUAAAAAUAAUUUUUAUUUCAAAAAUACUACACAUUAAAAACUUAGAACACCUAAUGCAAGUAAAUUAGAAAACUUCCUACAACUUGACCCUGGACCACCUGGCCUUUGGAUGAGGAUAGGGAGUAGAUGGAACCAGCCACUGAGGAGCAGCUGUGRGGAUCUGAAGCUGCUGCUUCUGGACAGUCACUUGGUUCUGGUCUGCAGGUUCUUUCAGCCGUCUGAUAGCAAAGCCACCAAAGUCUUCAGGGAUGGCAAAAACUGUAGAACCCUGGGCAGAAGCUCCCACAGGGCUGCUCCUGGGGAAAGCCAGGUUAUGGCUGGUUUUGUAGGUCUGCAACCAGCUUCUGGGUCUUGAACCUCCUUCCUGACCCACAGAUGGUUUCCAGGACUUUGUCAGAGGAGACAGCCUCCUGGGUUUAGGUCCACCAGACCUACGCUUUGAAGACACCCUCUURGCAGGACCACGAGCRAACGUUUGUAUCCGUACAGAGGGUCCACCUUGUUUUGGACCAACAGGACCAAACAGACCAGCAGAGGCACCCACUUGGCUUUGGGAAAAGGGGAUUUUAGCAGCAGCCCUGGAAGGUUCUUGUGCUGCAGACUGAGGAGAAACUGGUCUGAAGGAGUAGCUUUCCCUAGAAGCCAGAGAGCUGCUGGAUGGAUACUUGCUGGAACGCUGCAGUCCCUGCUGAACAGGCCAACUUCUCCUGCUGAGAGCAGAGGGGUUCUUCUGGUUCUGACUCACUGAAGGUCCACCAGCAACAG